Long non-coding RNA from Cercocebus atys (sooty mangabey), 4019 nucleotides. RefSeq lists it as uncharacterized. The transcript has 3 exons. The record is from RefSeq and is a predicted model, not a curated record. NCBI's taxonomy places the organism in Eukaryota, Metazoa, Chordata, Mammalia, Primates, Cercopithecidae.
GUAGUUCAGACUACAGGUGCAUGACAUCAUCCCUGGCUAAGAAAGGACUCAGCCAAUUCUGAUCAGCAGGCAGCAGCCAUUACCUUCCAAAGGUCAGCACAGUUAGGUGUGGUGACAGACACACUUGGAGGUGCCACAGCCUCCUGCGUGUCCUUGUACUCCUUGUCCAUUUGGUCUUCUUCACUGUGGGGCAUCUUCCUGGCCAACGAUAGCUCCAGACCAUCUUCAGGUGCUUGGCUGAAAACCCACAGAAGAAAUAGCUUGCUGUAGAUGUCUCCUCUGCCUUCAGGGACCAGCUUUGGCAACGCGACAAGCUUGAUUUCUCAGACCGGCUAAUUGGUGAUUCCUCCGCUCUGCCAACUUCCCUCUGAUACCUUCGCUUCUCUAGCUUCUCCCGCAACUGGCAAGGUCUCGUUCCUGUAAUAGAUCUCUCAUCCCAUGACCCAUUCUGGUUCUGCCCACCUGACGAACCCUGGAGGAUGCCCCUGAGUAUUACCAUCUGCUGCAGUGGGCAAUGUUCUCUGUCCCUUGAGUUUAUGAAAUUUCCGUCUUAUUCCACUUCAGAGAAGUAGAGUGUGUUCUAGCCCAGGAAGGACACUCACUCUGAUUUUGGCAGGUUCUAAAUCUGUCAUAACCUCACACAUCCAGUUAUUCAUGGACAAGGGAACAUGAGCUCAGUCUGACUUUAUGUUCUGCUUUUGGAGAGAAAGUGGGUGACCUGAUGUGUUUCUGAGAAACAAGUCUAGGGAGGUGUGUGCCCCACUCUCUGCUCGCUGCAGAUGUCCCCAUUGCAAGCACAUUUGUAUCCCAGUGCUUGUCUUCACCUUUAUGACGUCCUCCCAGGUGAGAAAUCACCCAAGUGGUCAUGGCCACCUCCCACUAUUUCAGUGUUCGGGGUUUUGGAAAUGAUUUACUGACAUUGCAUCAGAGCAUAGUAACAUUUAAUCAGGGGCUGGCUUUCUCAAGGACAAAUAUUUUCUGCCAUCAGUUCCUAAGCAGAAGAGGCCAACAGCAUCUGAGGAUCCCUUUGUCUGGGUUUCUGGCAGUUACCUCCCUUCCCAGGGUGAACAGUGACUCCGUUGCGCAAGGAUUGACUUAUCUUCCUGCCCUGUGUUUCUGACAUUGUGAACAAAGUUUCUGGGGAAGUAAACUUUAUGUUUAAACCAUGUUUAUGUUAAGCUUUAUCUGUUCAAAAAUCAAAUAUAUAUAGCUGAUCAUAAAAUAAUGACUUAUUAUAGAAAAUGCGAACAAAUAUAGAAAUGUUUUCAGUGGAACAUAAGUCACUCUAGAUCUCUCAACCCAGAAAUACUGCUGUCACUAUCUUGAGCAUUUCAGUCUCAUCUCUGGAAUAUAUUUAUAUAUAUUCAUGUCUUACAAAAUUAGGGUCAAAUUAUAUCUACUGAGGAGGCAGCAAACUUUAAAAAUAAAAUAACCCCUGACUCACAGACUGAGGGAAUAAUAUACUUUGAAGAAGUGAGAGAAAAAAAAUUAUGUUGGUGUCAGGGUUGUUUUUCAGAUAAUUCUGAAGAUGGUGGCGGGAGCAUCCUAUCAGCGUCUUGCUUCUCUAAAGUCCUGGACGUGGUGACGGAUUAUUGGCACAAUAAUGCUGUGUAACAGACAACUUCACAGUGUCAGUGUCUUGUAGCACUUCACACAAGGCUGUGCAGGCCACUGGGCUCAGCUGCACGGGCUCUAAGCGGCAGGGUGGCCUCCGACGUGCCCCGCAGGCUCCUCCUCCUUUGAUCAGCAGCACCUGGACGUGUUCUCCUGGUGAAGGGCCAGAGCCCAGGAGCGGAGCCAACUGUACGCACAAGCAUAUUGCAGGCCUUUGCCCACACCUCACUGCUAAUGAUCCAUUGGCCAAAGCAACAGUCACGGCGUGAGGAAACGCCCCUCAUCUACAGCAGGCACGAGGGGAGGAGAAAACCAUCCCGAUGGCCACACAGGAGGAGCUUGUUUUCCAUCCCCGUGAAGAGCUACGGCUUUGGCAAGAGUUGCAGGAGCUGGUUUGGCUUGGAAUGAGCUGCAAAGAGGGCUUGCUUUAGCACCAGGCAGUUUCUCUUUCUUUCUGUCCUUGAAGGCAGAACCAGCUCCUCUUUUUCUGUGUCUAUAUCUCUGGCUCCUGCACAGGGGGUUUGGCUCGCCGUGAGGACACAUUUGGUGUCAAAUAGAUUUAUGUUCUGGAGACCUUUUUCUUCCAGGGCAGCCUUACCUCAUCAGAAUGCGGAAGGGACCUGGCUCAAGAGGUCCCAGUAUCGACGACAGCAGCCAAUAUUUUAGACAAAUCUUUUCCUUGCCUCAGCAGUGGCGGCUCCAUCCUGAUUUUAUAAGACAGGAGCAGGUCUGCAAUUAAUGCCCGUAAAUCACAGGUGGCUGGAGCAGACGCCUCCAUUUCGAUUCCUGGAUAGGCUGUGGUCUCACAUCAUCAACAGCACAUGGCUGGGGCUCAAAUGACCAGUCUCAGAUGACCCGAACUCACAGGGAGAGGCCUGCAUGGGCUCUGCUUCCAUGGACGCCCUAGGUGUGCUGUGGCUGCGCCCUGGGGAGCCUUCUCUCUCACUAUUCCUUGGCAGCAGAAUGGGUUGUCAUGGCCCAGUCCUGUCACACUUCCAAGCUCCUCUGUGUCCUCUGUGACCCCUGUCCCAUGCACGGGAUGCACAUCCUGCCCUACAGUGCAGGGCUCCUGAGCACACUAUGGACGAGGCUGGGUGACUCAGGCUCACGGGAGCCCCAGCAUGGCCCCUGUGAUAUUGUGAACCCCAUUUCCCGGCACAUGACUCCUGAAAUCCUUAGCAACUCCACAGUGAUGCCUUUUUGUACAGGAAUGAAUGACCUGCUGGCUGGCAGCCCCUAGGGAGGGUAGAGCAGCUUAUGAGAAACAUCUAGGCAGGAUUAGAGGUCAGGACUUUCAACUCCACCCCCCAGCCUGGAGGUUGCCAGUGGUUUAAUCAGUCGUGAAGCUUCCAUAAAAACCCCGAAGAACUGGAUGCCAGGAGCUCUUGGAUGGCUGAACACGGGUUGCUUCUUGGAGGGCGGUCCCUGGGGAGGGCAUCGAAGCUUCGUGCUCCCUCUCCCGUACCUCCCCCUCUGCAUCUCUUCAUUUGUGUCCUUCGUAAUCAACCACUAAAGGUAAGUGUUCCCCAGAGUUACGAGAGCUACUCUAGCAAAUUCAUCAAACCAAAAGGAGCCAUGGGGACCCCAAUUUGAAGCCAGCCAGUCAGGAGUUCUGGAGGCCCCGCACUCGUUCCUGGUAUCCAGUGGGGCUGGGGAGGGGGGUAGUCUUGGGCACGGAGGCCUCACCCUCGGAUCUGAUGCUACCUCCAGGUGGACAGUAUCAGAACUGAAGUCGGGGACACCCAACUGGUGUCCGCUGCAGAACCGAUUGCUUGUGUAUUGUUGGGGAGAAAUCCCCACACAUUUGGCCAUAGAAGUCUUCUGUGUUGAUUGUUGUAGGGUGAGAGAAUAGAAAAAGCAUUUUGGGCUUGUAUGGGAGCUUUUUUCUAUUUUUACAGCCCCAAACAGGAGUGGGGGUUGUAGGGAAGAGGUGGGCGGAGCCUGCUGCAAGUUGCAGGGCUGUGUCCCAGCAGUGCUGGGAGGGGAUUGUGUGCACUUGUCCUGGGAGGGGGUCCUGGCACAGGAGCCAGCACCAAAGGGUGACAAUUCUUACCCUUUACCCCACAGGGCAGGGAUGCUCUAAGUUUGUCUGGCAAACCAGCUAAUCCUCCUACACACUGAACCUUAGGGUCUCCGCCACCCUCCCCUACAGCAGGCAGUUGGCAUCUGGUGCACAUGAAGGGGCAUCUGAAGACCUCAUCUCCGGGGCAUCCUCAGCCACCGCACCAGAAGUGCCAGGUGUGGCCAGCUUGGUGUGGCUGCCAGUGGAAAGUCACAGCCCCACCACUGGUAGAACCCAGGCUGGCAAUCUGCUGAGAACCUCAGAUUCACAAGAGGCUCACGGGAGGGAAAGCAGAUUUAGGACCCUUCAAAGAGCUUUUCCUGGAUCAUCUGUGAGGACUUUU